UCUUUUUUUCCUCCAAACCUUCAAAACACCAGAAUCCUCCCUAACACCCCUCUCACUCACCUCCCUCAUCACUCUCACUCUCAAUCUCUCUAUCGCUGCUCUCCCAAACUUUGACUGACAAAAGCUUUCAUACAAGGCUUUGCUGAGAAGCUGAAAGAGGGAGAGAGAGAGAGAGAGAGGGAGAGAGAAAGAAAGAGAGAGGGUGGAUCGUUCGGGGAAGCCAGAGAAGAAAAAGAAAAAGAAGGGGAGAAAAAUCCUCGAGGUGAAAUCUGCUAUCCAACAAGCCCAGAGAAGUUUGGCGGUCAAUAGGAAUGAGGCAAUGGCUGUUGCAGCUUUGCUACAGCUUGUCGAGACUUUGCAGCUUAAUCUAAAAGCUGCAAUUAAGGAAGAUGCAGAUUGGUUCGGACGUUUCAUGCCUCUCACAUAAGAGAUAAUGGGAUUGGUUAUAAAUUGAUCAUUAGUUAAGUUGAUACAGCAAGUUAUAGAUGAAGAUGGCUCUGUUAAAGACUCUGCGGUUUGUUCACUGUUACCUCACAGAAUUUUCAUCAUUGCGGUUAUGCAUAUUGUGACACCUAGGACUUUAUUGAUUUACUCUAGUUGAGAUGGUUUCUGUGAUAUGUAGAACACUAGGUUGAACUUUUCUAUUUUUGGUCAAUAGCAAUGCUUCUUGAGCAAUAUUCAUUUGUUAAAAGAUCCUGAACUUUCUAUUGUUUCCCUUUGAUCGACUGAUCUAUAUGUUCUAAAUAUCAGUAUCAAUAUUUAUGAGUAUUUCGUGAUUCCAAUGAGCAAGUUGUAA
Molecule: long non-coding RNA, 796 nt
Organism: Corylus avellana
Lineage: Eukaryota; Viridiplantae; Streptophyta; Magnoliopsida; Fagales; Betulaceae
Source: RefSeq, a predicted model, not a curated record